UACGGGGGGUGCAAGCGUUGUUCGGAAUUAUUGGGCGUAAAGCGCGUGUAGGCGGUUUGAUUAGUCUGAUGUGAAAGCCCUGGGCUCAACCCAGGAAGUGCAUUGGAUACUGUCAGACUUGAAUACGGGAGAGGGUAGUGGAAUUCCUAGUGUAGGAGUGAAAUCCGUAGAUAUUAGGAGGAACACCGGUGGCGAAGGCGGCUACCUGGACCGAUAUUGACGCUGAGACGCGAAAGCGUGGGUAGCAAACAGG
Molecule: ribosomal RNA, 253 nt
Filed under: uncultured bacterium
Lineage: Bacteria
Description: partial 16S ribosomal RNA
Rfam family: Bacterial small subunit ribosomal RNA
Source: RNAcentral